RNAcentral lists this ribosomal RNA (274 nucleotides) under uncultured bacterium. Its description in RNAcentral is "partial 16S ribosomal RNA". It matches the Rfam family "Bacterial small subunit ribosomal RNA", at positions 523 to 796 of the family's 1533-position model. The record is from RNAcentral.
AUACGGAGGGUGCAAGCGUUACUCGGAAUCACUGGGCGUAAAGCGCGCGCAGGCGGCUAUUUAAGUUGGAUGUGAAAGCCUACGGCUCAACCGUAGAACUGCAUCCAAAACUAUUUAGCUAGAGUGUGGGAGAGGAAGAUGGAAUUAGUUGUGUAGGGGUAAAAUCCGUAGAGAUAACUAGGAAUACCAAAAGCGAAGGCAAUCUUCUGGAACACUACUGACGCUGAGGCGCGAAUGCGUGGGGAGCAAAUAGGAUUAGAUACCCUAGUAGUCC